UGAUCCUGCCGGAGGUCACUGCUAUCGGGGUUCGAUUAAGCCAUGCGAGUCGAGAGGGUUCGGCCCUCGGCGUACUGCUCAGUAACACGUGGAUAACCUGCCCUAAGGAAGGGAAUACCCCCGGGAAACUGGGGAUAAUGCCCUAUAGGUUACCGAUGCUGGAAUGCUCGGUAACCGAAAGUUCCGGCGCCUUAGGAUGGAUCUGCGGCCGAUUAGGUUGUUGUCGGGGUAACGGCCCAACAAGCCGAUAAUCGGUACGGGUUGUGGGAGCAAGAGCCCGGAGUUGGAUUCUGAGACACGAAUCCAGGCCCUACGGGGCGCAGCAGGCGCGAAAACUUUACAAUGCGGGCAACCGUGAUAAGGGAACCUCGAGUGCCUGUAUAUGCAGGCUGUCCAGGUGUCUAAAACACACCUGGAGAAAGGGCCGGGCAAGACCCGGUGCCAGCCGCCGCGGUAAUACCGGCGGCUCGAGUGGUGGCCACUUUUAUUGGGCUUAAAGCGUUCGUAGCUGGGUCGUUAAGUCUCUUGGGAAAUCCGGCAGCUUAACUGUCGGGCGUCUAAGAGAUACUGGCGAUCUUGGAACCGGGAGAGGUGAGGGGUACUUCAGGGGUAGGAGUGAAAUCCUGUAAUCCUUGAGGGACCACCUGUGGCGAAGGCGCCUCACCAGAACGGCUUCGACAGUGAGGGACGAAAGCUGGGGGAGCAAACCGGAUUAGAUACCCGGGUAGUCCCAGCCGUAAACGAUGUGCGUUAGGUGUAUCGAUGACCACGAGUCAUCGAGGUGCCGAAGGGAAACCGUGAAACGUACCGCCUGGGAAGUACGGUCGCAAGGCUGAAACUUAAAGGAAUUGGCGGGGGAGCACCACAACAGGUGGAGCCUGCGGUUUAAUUGGAUUCAACGCCGGAAAUCACUAGUGAAUU
Molecule: ribosomal RNA, 921 nt
Filed under: Methanoculleus sp. LH2
Lineage: Archaea; Methanobacteriati; Methanobacteriota; Methanomicrobia; Methanomicrobiales; Methanomicrobiaceae
Description: bacterial SSU rRNA
Rfam family: Archaeal small subunit ribosomal RNA
Source: RNAcentral